RNAcentral lists this ribosomal RNA (506 nucleotides) under uncultured bacterium. RNAcentral's name for it is "partial 16S ribosomal RNA". It matches the Rfam family "Bacterial small subunit ribosomal RNA", at positions 28 to 523 of the family's 1533-position model. The record is from RNAcentral.
GAUGAACGCUAGCUACAGGCUUAACACAUGCAAGUCGAGGGGUAACGAGAGGAAAGCUUGCUUUCCUUGUCGACGACCGGCGCACGGGUGAGUAACGCGUAUCCAACCUGCCCCCAACUAGGGAAUAACCUUGCGAAAGUAAGACUAAUACCCUAUAAUUUCCUCAGAUGUCAUCUGACGAGGAAUAAAGAUUUAUCGGUUGUGGAUGGGGAUGCGUCUGAUUAGCUUGUUGGCGGGGUAACGGCCCACCAAGGCAACGAUCAGUAGGGGUUCAGAGAGGAAGGUCCCCCACAUUGGAAUUGAGACACGGUCCAAACUACUACGGGAGGCAGCAGUGAGGAAUAUUGGUCAAUGGGCGGAAGCCUGAACCAGCCAAGUAGCGUGCAGGAUGACGGCCCUAUGGGUCGUAAACUGCUUUUAUACAGGAAUAAAGUUAGCCACGUGUGGUUAUUUGUAGGUACUGUAUGAAUAAGGACCGGCUAAUUCCGUGCCAGCCGCCGCCGUAA